This 429-nucleotide ribosomal RNA is filed under the name Actinomycetes bacterium. Its description in RNAcentral is "Actinobacteria bacterium partial 16S ribosomal RNA". It matches the Rfam family "Bacterial small subunit ribosomal RNA", at positions 355 to 776 of the family's 1533-position model. Lineage: Bacteria; Bacillati; Actinomycetota; Actinomycetes. The record is from RNAcentral.
UAGGGAAUCUUCCGCAAUGGGCGAAAGCUUGACGGAGCAACGCCGCGUGAGUGAUGAAGGUCUUCGGAUCGUAAAACUCUGUUAUUAGGGAAGAACAAAUGUGUAAGUAACUAUGCACGUCUUGACGGUACCUAAUCAGAAAGCCACGGCUAACUACGUGCCAGCAGCCGCGGUAAUACGUAGGUGGCAAGCGUUAUCCGGAAUUAUUGGGCGUAAAGCGCGCGUAGGCGGUUUUUUAAGUCUGAUGUGAAAGCCCACGGCUCAACCGUGGAGGGUCAUUGGAAACUGGAAAACUUGAGUGCAGAAGAGGAAAGUGGAAUUCCGAGUGUAGAGGUGAAAUUCGUAGAUAUUCGGAGGAACACCAGUGGCGAAGGCGGCUCACUGGCUCGAUACUGACGCUGAGGUGCGAAAGCGUGGGGAGCAAACAGG